Molecule: transfer RNA, 60 nt
Filed under: mouse gut metagenome
Also listed under: 2 other names
Rfam family: tRNA
About the family: Transfer RNA (tRNA) molecules are approximately 80 nucleotides in length. Their secondary structure includes four short double-helical elements and three loops (D, anti-codon, and T loops).
Source: RNAcentral
CGUUAGCUCAGUUGGUAGAGCAACUGACUCUUAAUCAGUGGGUCUAGGGUUCGAAUCCCU